This 389-nucleotide ribosomal RNA is filed under the name uncultured Sphingobacteriales bacterium. RNAcentral describes it as "bacterial SSU rRNA". It matches the Rfam family "Bacterial small subunit ribosomal RNA", at positions 992 to 1382 of the family's 1533-position model. Lineage: Bacteria; Pseudomonadati; Bacteroidota; Sphingobacteriia; Sphingobacteriales. The record is from RNAcentral.
UGACUGUAGGUGAAAGCUUACAUCUCUUCGGAGCAUUUUACGAGGUGCUGCAUGGUUGUCGUCAGCUCGUGCCGUGAGGUGUCGGGUUAAGUCCCAUAACGAGCGCAACCCUACCCUUUAGUUGCCAUCAGGUAAUGCUGGGGACUCUAAAGGAACUGCCUACGCAAGUAGUGAGGAAGGCGGGGAUGACGUCAAGUCAGCACGGCCCUUACGUCCAGGGCUACACACGUGCUACAAUGGCCGAUACAGAGGGCAGCUACCUGGUGACAGGAUGCAAAUCUCCAAAGUCGGUCUCAGUUCGGAUCGGAGUCUGCAACCCGACUCCGUGAAGUUGGAUUCGCUAGUAAUCGCGCAUCAGCCAUGGCGCGGUGAAUACGUUCCCGGGCCUU